UCAUACACGAAAGCUAGGGGAGCAAACAGGUUUAGAUACCCUGGUAGUCCUAGCUGUAAACGGUGUGCACUCGAUGUUGGCGGAAUUGUCCCCGCCAGUGUCUAAGCAAACGCGUUAAGUGCACCGCCUGGGGAGUACGGUCGCAGGAUUAAAACUCAAGGAAAUUGACGGGGACCCGCACAAGCGGAGGAGCAUGUGGCUUAAUUCGAUGCAACGCGAAGAACCUUACCUGGACUUGACAUAUAACUGCACGUCCUGUGAAAGCAGGAUUCCUUCGAGGGUGUUAUACAGGUGCUGCAUGGCUGUCGUCAGUUCGUGCCGUGAGGUGUUAGGUUAAGUCUUGCAACGAACGCAACCCCUAUGUUUAGUUGCCAUCAGGUUAUGCUGGGCACUCUAGACAGACUGCCCGUGCAAUCGGGAGGAAGGUGGGGACGACGUCAAGUCAGUAUGGCCCUUACGUCCAGGGCUGCACACGUGCUACAAUGACCGGUACAGAGGGCAGCGAUACCGCGAGGUGGAGCUAAUCCCUUAAAACCGGUCCCAGUUCGGAUUGGAGUCUGCAACUCGACUUCAUGAAGUUGGAUUCGCUAGUAACGGCGUAUCAGCUGCGGCGNC
This 615-nucleotide ribosomal RNA is filed under the name uncultured organism. RNAcentral describes it as "bacterial SSU rRNA". It matches the Rfam family "Bacterial small subunit ribosomal RNA", at positions 747 to 1361 of the family's 1533-position model. The record is from RNAcentral.